AAAUUGAAGAGUUUGAUCAUGGCUCAGAUUGAACGCUGGCGGCAGGCCUAACACAUGCAAGUCGAACGGUAACAGGAAACAGCUUGCUGUUUCGCUGACGAGUGGCGGACGGGUGAGUAAUGUCUGGGAAACUGCCUGAUGGAGGGGGAUAACUACUGGAAACGGUAGCUAAUACCGCAUAACGUCGCAAGACCAAAGAGGGGGACCUUCGGGCCUCUUGCCAUCGGAUGUGCCCAGAUGGGAUUAGCUAGUAGGUGGGGUAACGGCUCACCUAGGCGACGAUCCCUAGCUGGUCUGAGAGGAUGACCAGCCACACUGGAACUGAGACACGGUCCAGACUCCUACGGGAGGCAGCAGUGGGGAAUAUUGCACAAUGGGCGCAAGCCUGAUGCAGCCAUGCCGCGUGUAUGAAGAAGGCCUUCGGGUUGUAAAGUACUU
This 438-nucleotide ribosomal RNA is filed under the name Escherichia coli. RNAcentral describes it as "bacterial SSU rRNA". It matches the Rfam family "Bacterial small subunit ribosomal RNA", at positions 1 to 435 of the family's 1533-position model. The record is from RNAcentral. Lineage: Bacteria; Pseudomonadati; Pseudomonadota; Gammaproteobacteria; Enterobacterales; Enterobacteriaceae.